This 56-nucleotide ribosomal RNA is filed under the name Spumella sp. RNAcentral's name for it is "partial 28S ribosomal RNA". Lineage: Eukaryota; Chrysophyceae; Chromulinales; Chromulinaceae. The record is from RNAcentral.
AGCCUCCAAUCAGUCAAGAAUACCCGCUGAAUUUAAGCAUAUCAAUAAGCGGAGGA